RNAcentral lists this transfer-messenger RNA (360 nucleotides) under Oxobacter pfennigii. Its description in RNAcentral is "Standard tmRNA". It matches the Rfam family "transfer-messenger RNA". From Rfam's summary of the family: Bacterial tmRNA, also known as 10Sa RNA or SsrA, is named for its dual tRNA and mRNA-like properties. Its role is to liberate the mRNA from a stalled ribosome. The record is from Rfam by way of RNAcentral. Lineage: Bacteria; Bacillati; Bacillota; Clostridia; Eubacteriales; Clostridiaceae.
GGGGGCGUAUUUGGUUUCGACGGGGGUAUGGGUGAUUCGAUAAGCGAGCCGUGGUUUGGUCUUCGGUGCCACGUUAAAAAGCUGGGGACAAACAAUAAACGCUAACGAUAAUUUAGCAUUAGCAGCCUAAUUUAGGCAGCUCGUUCAACCCUGGAAUCCCACGGCCGGGGAUUGGGCGUCGAUUAGUGGGGCACCGCGCUUUACAAAGCUUUGAGUAAAGAACGGAAUUUAUGAAGCUACUGAAGUCAGUAUCCUGUCAGUGGGAGACUGACGGAGGGAAUGUUAAUUCAUUGACUGCGCUCGGAGAAACUCGGGUUUUCUGACUUUCGGACAGGGGUUCAACUCCCCUCGCCUCCACCA